This 376-nucleotide ribosomal RNA is filed under the name uncultured organism. RNAcentral describes it as "partial 16S ribosomal RNA". It matches the Rfam family "Bacterial small subunit ribosomal RNA", at positions 527 to 896 of the family's 1533-position model. The record is from RNAcentral.
GUAGGUGGCAAGCGUUGUCCGGAAUUAUUAGGCGUAAAGCGCGCGCAGGCGGUCCUUUAAGUCUGAUGUGAAAGCCCACGGCUCAACCGUGGAGGGUCAUUGGAAACUGGGGGACUUGAGUACAGAAGAGGAAAGCGGAAUUCCAAGUGUAGCGGUGAAAUGCGUAGAGAUUUGGAGGAACACCAGUGGCGAAGGCGGCUUUCUGGUCUGUAACUGACGCUGAGGCGCGAAAGCGUGGGGAGCAAACAGGAUUAGAUACCCUGGUAGUCCACGCCGUAAACGAUGAGUGCUAAGUGUUAGGGGGUUUCCCGCCCCCCUUAGUGCUGCAGCUAACGCAUUAAGCACUCCGCCUGGGGGAGUACGGCCCGCAAGGCUG